ACUCUGAACUUCUGGGGUAACUUUGAGCAGGGGAUGAAUUGUAUUUCAUACCCUGCUCUAGUGUCCCCAGUGGGGCAGAGUA
MicroRNA precursor from Bison bison bison, 82 nucleotides. The record is from Ensembl. Lineage: Eukaryota; Metazoa; Chordata; Mammalia; Artiodactyla; Bovidae.